AUUGAACGCUGGCGGCAGGCCUAACACAUGCAAGUCGAGCGGAUGAAGGGAGCUUGCUCCUGGAUUCAGCGGCGGACGGGUGAGUAAUGCCUAGGAAUCUGCCUGGUCGUGGGGGAUAACGUCCGGAAACGGGCGCUAAUACCGCAUACGUCCUGAUGGAGAAAGUGGGGGAUCUUCGGACCUCACGCUAUCAGAUGAGCCUAGGUCGGAUUAGCUAGUUGGUGGGGUAAAGGCCUACCAAGGCGACGAUCCGUAACUGGUCUGAGAGGAUGAUCAGUCACACUGGAACUGAGACACGGUCCAGACUCCUACGGGAGGCAGCAGUGGGGAAUAUUGGACAAUGGGCGAAAGCCUGAUCCAGCCAUGCCGCGUGUGUGAAGAAGGUCUUCGGAUUGUAAAGCACUUUAAGUUGGGAGGAAGGGCAGUAAGUUAAUACCUUGCUGUUUUGACGUUACCAACAGAAUAAGCACCGGCUAACUUCGUG
This 484-nucleotide ribosomal RNA is filed under the name uncultured bacterium. RNAcentral's name for it is "partial 16S ribosomal RNA". It matches the Rfam family "Bacterial small subunit ribosomal RNA", at positions 30 to 507 of the family's 1533-position model. The record is from RNAcentral.